Small nucleolar RNA from Lolium rigidum, 89 nucleotides. The record is from RefSeq and is a predicted model, not a curated record. Lineage: Eukaryota; Viridiplantae; Streptophyta; Magnoliopsida; Poales; Poaceae.
UCACUGUGAUGAUGACGCACUGAUUAGAUGCCCCAUGCAGCCCAUUCCAGUAAACCAUGGGGAUAAAAUGAGGCAUUUGUCUGAGAGAA